Molecule: ribosomal RNA, 220 nt
Filed under: uncultured bacterium
Lineage: Bacteria
Description: partial 16S ribosomal RNA
Rfam family: Bacterial small subunit ribosomal RNA
Source: RNAcentral
GCAAGUCGAGCGCGCCCUUCGGGGUGAGCGGCGGACGGGUGAGUAACGCGUGGGAACAUACCCUUCUCUACGGAAUAGCCAUUGGAAACGAUGAGUAAUACCGUAUACGCCCUUCGGGGGAAAGAUUUAUCGGAGAUGGAUUGGCCCGCGUUAGAUUAGGUAGUUGGUGGGGUAAUGGCCUACCAAGCCUACGAUCUAUAGCUGGUUUGAGAGGAUGAUC